Molecule: long non-coding RNA, 950 nt
Organism: Frieseomelitta varia
Lineage: Eukaryota; Metazoa; Arthropoda; Insecta; Hymenoptera; Apidae
Exons: 4
Source: RefSeq, a predicted model, not a curated record
CCCAUGUGGAACCUUUUGUGGGUCCACAUGUGGCUAGACUGAGUGUAGCUUUUACCACAGAUGUUGCAAACGUAUCUGUACAAGAAUAAAAAGAUUUUGAAGGUUUAUACAUAAUUUGAAGAGAGAGAGAGAGAGAGAGAGAGAGAACAUACGGUCUUAAUCCGCUGUGCCUUCUUUUGUGAGCGUUCAGAGAAUUUGCGGUCGGCAAUAGACUGCCACAAAUAUCACACGGAAAUUUGGAACAUCUGUAUUUUCCGUGUUCUUGAAAAUCCUCAAUACUCGUGAAAAUACUUCCACAGAGUUCGCAAAUGAAUUUUUCCUUGCUCUUCUCUGAUCUCCUAGGCAACGGCUGAUGUCUUUUUUGUUUGUGCUUGUAAAGCAGAGACAGUUCUUUAACGUCUCUGUCGCAGAUCUCGCAUAAAAAUACCACUAACACUCUGAAUAUUCUUGGGUGUUCUUUCCAGUGAAGAACAGCCUCCGCGUAAGAUUUGAAUACAGUGUUACAAUGAUUGCAGGAGUACGGUUUCUCGAUAACAUGCGAUUCUCUGUGGGUUUUCAAAUGAUCCAUGUCUGCAAAGUGGCUGCUGCAGAAUUCACAAUGUGUUCAUCCGCAAGUUCGCAACUCCCGAAGGCUUCGCCGCAACGAAUACAUCUAUAAAAAAUAACUAUUUUUAACCGAAUGAGAAGAACAAGAGAAGAACGAAUGCAUUACCUCCAAAUAGUCUGAUUGUUUUCAAAAAUGAUGCUGUGUCCAGCAACAUGUUUGUUCAAUCUUGAUUUCUGUGUGAAACUCUUAGAACAUUCUGGACAUUUGUAUGGCUUUUCCGGAAGAAAAUGCUUUCAACACUCUUAGAAAAUUGAAAAGAUAUUUGUUCAACUUAAAAGACUAUAUUAGAUCAAGUUUUUAAGGAUGUUUCAAAAUAUCAGAAAAUUAAGGAACAUACUCUACA